This 253-nucleotide ribosomal RNA is filed under the name uncultured bacterium. RNAcentral's name for it is "partial 16S ribosomal RNA". It matches the Rfam family "Bacterial small subunit ribosomal RNA", at positions 524 to 776 of the family's 1533-position model. The record is from RNAcentral.
UACAGAGGGGGCAAGCGUUGUCCGGAUUUACUGGGCGUACAGCGCGCGCAGGCGGAGCUGGACGUGCCGUGUGACAGACCACCGCUCACCGGUGGAGGGCCACGGUACACGACAGCUCUGGAGGCAGGGAGAGGGAUGUGGAAUGCCCGGUGGAGCGGUGAAAUGCGUAGAGAUGGGGGAGAACACUCGUGGCGAAGGCGGCCAGCUAGACCAGUUCUGACACUGAGGCGCGACAGCGUGGGGAGCAAACAGG